This 786-nucleotide small RNA is filed under the name Pongo abelii (Sumatran orangutan). Its description in RNAcentral is "retained intron". Lineage: Eukaryota; Metazoa; Chordata; Mammalia; Primates; Hominidae. The record is from RNAcentral.
GAUGGUCUCCUGAUCCUGGCUGAUAAGCUCCAGGGCCCCUUUUCCUUUGAGCUGGCGGCUGAGUCCAUUGGGGUGAAGAUCUCGGAGGGUUUGAUGUACCUGCAGGAAAACAGUGCGAAGGUGUCCGCCCAGGUGUUUCAGGAGUGCGGCCCCCCCCCCCGGUGCCUGCCCGCAACCGUCGAGCCCCGCCGCCCCGGGAAGAGGCGGGCCGGCUGUGGUCGAUGGUGACCGAGGAGGAGCGGCCCCCGACGGCCGCGGGCACCAACCUGCACCGGCUGGUGUGGGAGCUCCGCGAGCGUCUGGCCCGGAUGCGGGGCUUCUGGGCCCGGCUGUCCCUGACGGUGUGCGGAGACUCUCGCAUGGCAGCGGACGCCUCGCUGGAGGCGGCGCCCUGCUGGACCGGAGCCGGGCGGGGCCGGUACUUGCCGCCAGUGGUCGGGGGCUCCCUGGCCGAGCAGGUCAACAACCCCGAGCUCAAGGUGGACGCCUCGGGCCCCGAUGUCCCGACACGGCGGCGUCGGCUACAGCUCCGGGCGGCCACGGCCAGAAUGAAAGCGGCCGCACUGGGACACGACCUGGACGGGCAGGACAUGGGUGAGACCCCGGCAUCCCUGAGCCUGAGCCCCGCCCACUGCCCUUAAGCCUCUCCCCUCUCCUGGUAGUUCCCGCCCGCGCCUCUGCUCUUAGCGUUCAUUCAUUCAUUCACUAAUUCAUUCAACGAGCAUUUAUUGAGCGUUGACCUCAAAGACUGGGGGUAACAGAUCAAUGAGGGGGUCUGUAUCCUUU